RNAcentral lists this ribosomal RNA (514 nucleotides) under uncultured bacterium. RNAcentral describes it as "bacterial SSU rRNA". It matches the Rfam family "Bacterial small subunit ribosomal RNA", at positions 355 to 859 of the family's 1533-position model. The record is from RNAcentral.
UGAGGAAUCUUGCGCAAUGGGCGAAAGCCUGACGCAGCGACGCCGCGUGAGGGAUGAAGGCCUUCGGGUUGUAAACCUCUGUCAGGGGGGAAGAAUCCGGAGUCGGUGAAUACCCGACUCCACUGACGGUACCCCCAGAGGAAGCACCGGCUAACUCCGUGCCAGCAGCCGCGGUAAGACGGAGGGUGCGAACGUUGUUCGGAAUCACUGGGCGUAAAGGGCGCGUAGGCGGACUCGUAAGUCGGGAGUGAAAACUCGGGGCUCAACCCCGAGCCUGCUUCUGAAACUGCGAGUCUUGAGGACCGGAGAGGAAAGUGGAAUUCCUAGUGUAGCGGUGGAAUGCGUAGAUAUUAGGAAGAACACCAGUGGCGAAGGCGACUUUCUGGACGGUUCCUGACGCUGAGGCGCGAAAGCUAGGGGAGCAAACAGGAUUAGAUACCCUGGUAGUCCUAGCCGUAAACGAUGAGUGCUAGGUGGUGGUAGUUUCAACACUUUCACCGCCGCAGCCAACGCU